GGGGGCGACCUGGUUUCGACGUGGGUUGCGAAGCCUGAGGUGCAUGCCGAGGAGCGGUGAUCCUCGUAAAUCCAGCCGCAAACCUUAUAGUUGCCAACGACGACAACUACGCACUCGCUGCUUAAAACCCAGUAGGGUGCCCUCUCACUGAGGCCGUGCCUGUGCGCUCAGGUUCGAGGGGUCAUCUCUCACAGGAUCGCGAUGACACCAGUCCGGGGUGGAUUCGUUAAAACCUUAUCCGGACUCGCUGCCGGUUGUCCCUGCCCGUCGGGUAGCCGCCAGUCAAAUGAAUAGACGCGGAUAAGCAUGUAGAGCCGAAGGGGGAGCGCUUGCGGACGCGGGUUCGAUUCCCGCCGCCUCCACCA
Molecule: transfer-messenger RNA, 365 nt
Filed under: Gammaproteobacteria (g-proteobacteria)
Lineage: Bacteria; Pseudomonadati; Pseudomonadota
Also listed under: 1 other name
Description: DRLM01 sp011375345 Standard tmRNA
Rfam family: transfer-messenger RNA
About the family: Bacterial tmRNA, also known as 10Sa RNA or SsrA, is named for its dual tRNA and mRNA-like properties. Its role is to liberate the mRNA from a stalled ribosome. To accomplish this part of the tmRNA is used as a reading frame that ends in a translation stop signal.
Source: RNAcentral